GUCCUAGCUGUAAACGGUGCACGUUUGCUGUAAAAGGAAUCGACCCCUUUUGUGGCGAAGCUAACGCGUUAAACGUGCCGCCUGGGAAGUACGGUCGCAAGAUUAAAACUCAAAGAAAUUGACGGGGGCCUGCACAAGCGGUGGAGUAUGUGGCUUAAUUCGAUGCAACGCGAAGAACCUUACCUGGCCUUGACAUGCAUAUAGUAGAAGCCUGAAAGUGUGACGAGGUAGCAAUACCAGUAUGCACAGGUGCUGCAUGGCUGUCGU
This 267-nucleotide ribosomal RNA is filed under the name uncultured bacterium. RNAcentral's name for it is "partial 16S ribosomal RNA". It matches the Rfam family "Bacterial small subunit ribosomal RNA", at positions 793 to 1055 of the family's 1533-position model. The record is from RNAcentral.